Molecule: ribosomal RNA, 253 nt
Filed under: uncultured bacterium
Lineage: Bacteria
Description: partial 16S ribosomal RNA
Rfam family: Bacterial small subunit ribosomal RNA
Source: RNAcentral
UACGUAGGGUGCGAGCGUUGUCCGGAAUUAUUGGGCGUAAAGGGCUCGUAGGCGGUCCAUCGCGUCGGGAGUGAAAAGCUGGGGCUUAACCCCAGUCCUGCUUUCGAUACGGGUGGACUAGAGGUAGGCAGGGGAGAAUGGAAUUCCUGGUGUAGCGGUGAAAUUCGUAGAUAUUAGGAAGAACACCGGUGGCGAAGGCGGCCCACUGGAUCGGUACUGACGCUGAGGUGCGAAAGCGUGGGGAGCAAACAGG